Molecule: ribosomal RNA, 467 nt
Filed under: uncultured bacterium
Lineage: Bacteria
Description: partial 16S ribosomal RNA
Rfam family: Bacterial small subunit ribosomal RNA
Source: RNAcentral
GACGAACGCUGGCGGCGUGCUUAACACAUGCAAGUCGAGCGGGAAACUUCGGUUUCCAGCGGCGGACGGGUGAGUAACACGUGGGCAACCUGCCUCACAAUGAGGGAUAGCCCUCCGAAAGGAGGAUUAAUACCUCAUAACACAAGAGAAACGCAUGUUUCUCUUGCCAAAGAAUUUCGUUGUGAGAUGGGCCCGCGGCGCAUUAGCUUGUUGGUGAGGUAACGGCGCACCAAGGCUUCGAUGCGUAGCCGACCUGAGAGGGUGAUCGGCCACAUUGGAACUGAGACACGGUCCAGACUCCUACGGGAGGCAGCAGUGGGGAAUAUUGCACAAUGGAGGAAACUCUGAUGCAGCAACGCCGCGUGAGUGAUGAAGGUCUUCGGAUUGUAAAGCUCUGUCUUCUGGGACGAUAAUGACGGUACCAGAGGAGGAAGCCACGGCUAAUUACGUGCCAGCAGCCGCGGUAA